ACGCACGCUGGCGGCGCGCCUAACACAUGCCCGUCGAACGAGCGAGAGAGAGCUUGCUUUCUCGAGCGAGUGGCGAACGGGUGAGUAACGCGUGAGGAACCUGCCUCAAAGAGGGGGACAACAGUUGGAAACGACUGCUAAUACCGCAUAAGCCCACGACCCGGCAUCGGGUAGAGGGAAAAGGAGCAAUCCGCUUUGAGAUGGCCUCGCGUCCGAUUAGCUAGUUGGUGAGGUAACGGCCCACCAAGGCGACGAUCGGUAGCCGGACUGAGAGGUUGAACGGCCACAUUGGGACUGAGACACGGCCCAGACUCCUACGGGAGGCAGCAGUGGGGAAUAUUGCACAAUGGGGGAAACCCUGAUGCAGCGACGCCGCGUGGAGGAAGAAGGUCUUCGGAUUGUAAACUCCUGUUGUUGAGGAAGAUAAUGACGGUACUCAACAAGGAAGUGACGGCUAACUACGU
RNAcentral lists this ribosomal RNA (464 nucleotides) under uncultured bacterium. RNAcentral describes it as "partial 16S ribosomal RNA". It matches the Rfam family "Bacterial small subunit ribosomal RNA", at positions 29 to 506 of the family's 1533-position model. The record is from RNAcentral.